CCAAAAACAUAGCCCUCAAAACAAUUGAAGGUGAAACCUGCCCAAUGAUUUAAUACACUAAAUUUAAAAAUUUAAUAAAAAAAUUAAAUGGCUGCAGUAACUAUGACUGUAAAAAUGUAGCAUAAUAAUUCGCCACUUAAUUAGUGGAUAGUAUGAACGGUUUAACGAAAAUUCCACUGUCUUAUAUAAUAAAAAAAAAAUUUAAAUCAUAGUUAAGAUGCUAUGUAAAACUGUAAGACGAAAAGACCCUAUAAAGCUUAACUAUAUUCCUUAAUAAUUUAAUAAUAAAAAAAUUAAAAUAAUUAUUUAUUAAGAUUUGGUAGUUUCAUUGGGGCGAUGGUCUCUAAAAAUAAACAGAGAUAAACCUAUAUAAUAAUAAAAUUUACUGUAUAAUUAAUAAAUUUAACAGUUACAAAGUAGGGUAUAAUGACCCAUUAAUUUUAUAAAAAGAAUUAAUGAUCAAUAAAUAAAAGCUACUUUAGGGAUAACAGGAUAAUAAUUUCUUAGAGACCCAAUCGAAGAAAAAGUUUAUCACCUCGAUGUUGAAUUAAGAUAACCUAAUGACGCAGCAGUAAUUAAAGGUAGGUC
This 588-nucleotide ribosomal RNA is filed under the name Lytocarpia phyteuma. Its description in RNAcentral is "partial large subunit ribosomal RNA". It matches the Rfam family "Bacterial large subunit ribosomal RNA", at positions 1807 to 2577 of the family's 2925-position model. Lineage: Eukaryota; Metazoa; Cnidaria; Hydrozoa; Leptothecata; Aglaopheniidae. The record is from RNAcentral.